Long non-coding RNA from Homo sapiens (human), 576 nucleotides. Ensembl annotates it as ANKRD34C antisense RNA 1. Its record names the gene ANKRD34C-AS1. NCBI's taxonomy places the organism in Eukaryota, Metazoa, Chordata, Mammalia, Primates, Hominidae. The record is from Ensembl.
GUUCCACGCUCACUGUGCGCCUCGGGCGGCGGGGCUCGGGCUCUGUCCGAGGUGCUGAACUCCGGGGCUCCGGCCGCGCCGGCAGAGUGUGCCAGCGUCCAUUAUUGCCAGUGUCUGUGGGCAUCUUCCAGAAGGCCGAGCAUGGGGGUCAGGUGAAACCAGGGCGCUCCCAAGCACCUUGCCCAGUAGAGCCCCCUUGCACCCUGCUUGGUUGGUCAGCACCCCAUGGACAUGCAGCCUUGACCUUGGCAUGGGAAGCCUCCACUGUGUCAAGCCCAACAUCCAGGCCUCUGAAGACAGUCAUUCAGUCUAGAAGCUGAGAUUCUUGAGUAUGACUGUUCCCCGGGGCAAGGGUAUCUCAACUUUGGCACUACUGACAUCUCCACGUAGGUUUUCCAGGAGAGAAUCCACUUUUUGUUUUAUCUGGGUCAACUCCUUCAUAAUGGCCUGAAGGUCAUCUCCUCUCAACUUUCCAGACUUGGAAGAUCCCUGCUGUCCACUCUUAGAAUUGAGGCCACUUUUGCCCCUUCAUGAGGUGUUUCCUGAUACACGCUGACGUUUUGAGAGCACUACAGC